GUACGGGAGGCAGCAGUAGGGAAUAUUGGUCAAUGGAUGCAAGUCUGAACCAGCCAUGCCGCGUGCAGGAAGAAGGCCUUCUGGGUUGUAAACUGCUUUUGCCAGGGGAUAAAAAUCUCAUGCGUGAGAAAUUGAAGGUACCUGGUGAAUAAGCCACGGCUAACUACGUGCCAGCAGCCGCGGUAAUACGUAGGUGGCAAGCGUUGUCCGGAUUUAUUGGGUUUAAAGGGUGCGUAGGCGGCCUUGUAAGUCAGUGGUGAAAUACUCUAGCUUAACUAGAGGGGUGCCAUUGAUACUGCAGGGCUUGAGUACAGACGAGGUAGGCGGAAUUGACGGUGUAGCGGUGAAAUGCAUAGAUAUCGUCAAGAACUCCGAUAGUGAAGACAGCUUACUAGGCUGUAACUGACGCUGAGGCACGAAAGUGUGGGGAUCAAACAGGAUUAGAUACCCCGGUAGC
Molecule: ribosomal RNA, 457 nt
Filed under: uncultured bacterium
Lineage: Bacteria
Description: bacterial SSU rRNA
Rfam family: Bacterial small subunit ribosomal RNA
Source: RNAcentral